UACGUAGGGGGCAAGCGUUGUCCGGAAUCAUUGGGCGUAAAGAGCUCGUAGGCGGUUUGUCGCGUCUGCCGUGAAAGUCCGGGGCUCAACUCCGGAUCUGCGGUGGGUACGGGCAGACUAGAGUGAUGUAGGGGAGACUGGAAUUCCUGGUGUAGCGGUGAAAUGCGCAGAUAUCUGGAGGAAUACCGGUGGCGAAGGCGGCAUCCUGGACCGAGAUUGACACUGAUGAGCGAAAGCUAGGGGAGCAAACGGG
RNAcentral lists this ribosomal RNA (253 nucleotides) under uncultured bacterium. RNAcentral's name for it is "partial 16S ribosomal RNA". It matches the Rfam family "Bacterial small subunit ribosomal RNA", at positions 524 to 776 of the family's 1533-position model. The record is from RNAcentral.